RNAcentral lists this small RNA (35 nucleotides) under Arabidopsis thaliana (thale cress). Its description in RNAcentral is "ATSL229160". Lineage: Eukaryota; Viridiplantae; Streptophyta; Magnoliopsida; Brassicales; Brassicaceae. The record is from RNAcentral.
UGUAUCUCUUCUUCUUCUUCGUCUUCUCUCUCAUU